UAACAAUGAUGGUGACAUUCAAGUUAGUAGCUCUUGAAUCUCUCCCAUGCGUUUUUGAAUGAUUCCCGUGAACCUUGACAGAAAGUGGAGAUUUUCUUCAUGACA
Molecule: small nucleolar RNA, 105 nt
Filed under: Brassica oleracea var. oleracea
Lineage: Eukaryota; Viridiplantae; Streptophyta; Magnoliopsida; Brassicales; Brassicaceae
Description: Plant small nucleolar RNA R71
Rfam family: Plant small nucleolar RNA R71
About the family: R71 is a member of the C/D box family of snoRNAs containing the C (UGAUGA) and D (CUGA) box motifs. Multiple nearly identical copies of this snoRNA have been identified in Arabidopsis, and it is thought to function as a 2'-O-ribose methylation guide for 18S ribosomal RNA.
Source: Rfam by way of RNAcentral